This 3989-nucleotide long non-coding RNA is filed under the name Sus scrofa (pig). RNAcentral's name for it is "lncRNA (ENSSSCG00000062144.1)". Lineage: Eukaryota; Metazoa; Chordata; Mammalia; Artiodactyla; Suidae. The record is from RNAcentral.
AAUCAGCCACAUGAUUACAAGGGUAAACAACAGAUACACAAAGAACCAUUUAGUCAACCUUCUGUUUCUCACUUUUAGUACAGUAGUCAAUAAAGUACAUGAGCUCUUCAACACUUUAUUACAAAAUAAGUUUUAUGUUAGAUGAUUUUCCCCAACUCUAGGCUAAUGUAAGUGUUCUGAGCAUGUUAAGGCAGGGAUAGGCUAAGCUAUGAUGUUCAGUAGGUUAGGUGUAUUAAAUGCAUUUUUGCCAACAAUAUUUUCAAAUUAUAAAGGGUUUAUUGGAACUUAGCCCCAUCAUAUUUGAGGAAGAUCUGUAGUAUCGAAUUUUAUAGUGCUGAUUUGUUGCUACUUGCUUCAGAUAGUCUUUCCACCCCUUCUGCCCCCACUCUCCUUCCCAUCUAAGUAAACCUGUGAUGGUUCAGAAGGCAAAAGUCAUGUGUGGUAUGUCUCUGCAACUCCCACAGUUCUACACAUGCAAAGGCACUACGAUUAGGCUUUUUCAUCAAGGGAGACAGAAUUGUGACCUGUGAUACCAUUUACCUUGUAUAUCCUCUGUUACAAGUUCAGUGUAGGCCCUUUAGAUAUUAUUUCUCAUCCUUACGUAGAUCCUGCAAAGGAACUAAUCAUUUUACCUCAUUACUCAGUUGAAUCUGACACUCACAGAAGGCAAAUAACUUAUGUACAGCUAGUACCCAUCAGCAUUAGAAUUUGAACCCAGAAUUCGAACCCAUGUUCUUUCCAUUACUGUAUAUUGACGUGCCUCAUUCUCAGCUCACAUAGAUACCACAUAAUCACAUUAUGGCAGCAUUACUUUGCUUGCAUAUAGAAUUGUAAACUGCUAACCUAGGUGAAUUCAAGUCUUAGCCUAUUGACUUCCAAUGUUAGCUCUGCUCUUGAGAAUUAGGUGACCCACUUUCUGAGCCAAGGUCCUUAUCUCUUAAGGGCCAUUGGAGUGCAGCGAGAGCCCUGAAGCAUCAAGACAGCAUCAAUGAACAGCGUUGUUGUGAAACCCAGGACCUUCCCUGAGUCUAACAGUGGCAGGGCUGUUACAGUGACGUAAGGCCCAUAACUUGUUCCUUCAUUUCCCUCUCUGCAUUUCAUCACUCCCCCAUUUUUGAAACACUUCCUCUAUGACAUAAUAAUGAGUGAGGACUCUAUGAGCUUUCAAGUGACAAGUAAAUUCCAGGAAUAUUUUAUUUGCCUUGGAAAGAUAUAAAUUCCUGGGUCUAUUCAGAUUCCAGUGGCUUUGGAGAGACAGAGCAUGCCACUUUCCUUAAGAAAGGCCACCAAUGGGAGUGAUUUCUGGUGACGCAAUGCUGAUAUUUUUGUACCCUCCUGGAGAAGGGAAGAGGUGGGGUUUCUCUGGAGCCAGAUGAACUCAUAAUUAGUUCUCACCCAGGCUGCUUAAGCAAUUAUGGUGAAACCAAAUCACAUUACUUUUUUCUCCUGCUUUUGAUAAAAGCCUCAGCCCUGCUCCUUCUGCCCCAGAGGGCACUUGGCUGCCCAUUACUUCUAACAUCACAGACACUAUUCUUUCCUUUUGUUUCCAGGAUACAACUGUCACUGUGUAAAAUAAGAAGUGUGGGGGAAAUAAUGCACACCUCUUGGUCGCACUACUUCAGAGGCACCUAGCAACACUGUCUCCAGGCAGGCAGCACGCGCAUCUCCCUGGUAGUUUACUGCCCACUCAGAGCAGAGGCGGCGUGCUCUCUGCAAAUAGCCUACAUCUUUGCCCGUGCCAGCUCGUUGGUGGGGUAGUGGUGUCAUGUGGUGUCCUCAGGGACGUUUGGUUCUCGUUCUGGGAAGACUAGGGCAAAGCAAUAACUAUUUCCGCAAAGCUGUUUGUGGAAUCAGAAAUUAGGUCAAGCAGUUCUGUACUUGGGGUUGCACAAUCUAAAAUCAAUGGUUUUCAAUCUUUGUUUUUUUCCCAGAUUGAUACGUUUCAGAUAUCAACCUUCCAGAAUGUUCAUGGCAUUCUUUUCUAAAGGAUGUUUCCCAAGUAUACAUAUUCAAUGAGCAACUUCUCCUGGCUCUUUUGUCCAUCCACCAAUUAGCCUGACGAUGCUGUGACCACCAGCUGUUUCCACAGUUUUUACCAUUAUCUGCUCUCUGCCUCCAAAGUAUCAGUUGGGCUAAAGAGAGCCCUGCACUGAUUUACCCACCAGCUGCAUAGCCUUUCCAUUGCAGGCUCUUGUACCACAGGACAUUAUGAUAAGGUGCUGAGACUAUCAAUUUUCUUUCUGUAUCUCAGGGAAUUGUUAAAGGACUUUUUUGUUUCUUUACUGCUUAUACUUAGCAUUUUAACCCUCCCCCAGAGUAAAAACCUUGGAAAAUGAAAAUUGCAUCUUUUUUGGAGGAAAACCAAGCUUUUCCUGUGGUAACAUUAUGCCAGGCUCCUAGGCAUGUAAAACUUGAUUUAGGAAAUAUGAGUGCUGCUGUGUAGAGGGGUGAUCCCAAGAUACCAGGAAGGAAAUAAGUUUUAACUUCCAAGAGUCAUUUUCUCACUUGUUAUGUGCCAAGCCCCCUGCUAAGAGCAAGGAAGACAAGUAUGAAUGAAAAAGCUUAUAGCCUGAGGGAUAUUUUAGUGAAAACAACAAUUAGGAAUUAUGUCAUGUGUGUUUGUAAUGCAAGUAUUCACAAGAUGAUCUAGGAGUUCAGGGGGGAUAGAAGGGCUCUCUAGAGAGAUCGGAUGGGGGAGAGAGUGAUAUUUAUGUCAUUUAAUUUUUAAUAGUAGCUAUGUUUAAUAAUCAGCUUGCAACAUUCCUGAAAAUCUAGCCCAGGCUCUCCUGAGCUGAUGUAAACUGGCUCCAGCACAUUGUGGGGCAAGGUGAAACUGGGAAGUAUAGAUAUACCUUGUAUCCAUAGUGAGGAGUUUGGAUUCUCUCUAAGAGAAAGGAUAAUUUGAAAUAGUAAUUGGUGUUUGUUUUUUCUUGUUUUAUAUAGUUUCACCUUCUUUCACCAAAGAAGGCUUUUGUUUUUUCUUCUCUCAGAGGCUUUUGUAUUGGUGGGCAGAAACCAAACAUUUCUAAAGGGCUAGGCUUGGCACGACCACUUUCAAAGAACUCCCUGGGUACAAUCAAGGUGACGAUCAAAGCGAGCCUUGUAAACUAAGACCAGAGGGCCCAUUCUUGACUAUUCUGUGAUGAGACCACUCUAUAUUUCCAGAGAUCCUUGGUGGAAGGAAGGAACCCAACAAAGAGUCUGAAAUUAAGUUUCUCACUGACAGCAUAAUUUAACUAUUUUAGAGAAGUUAAGAGAAGGUGUUUCUUGCACUCCAGUGUUAGAGAAUUAAACUGAUACCCAUUAUAGCUAUAGAUCAUGCAUUUUUUUAAACCAAAAAUAUGACCUCAUUGUAUCUAAAUUUUAUAAGGAUAACUAUCACCCAUGCAGAGGAGGAAUUGGAAGGGGGAAAACCUGAUUGAAAAAUGAGACUAGUUAGGUGAGAUUAUCUGCCAUGAUAAGGUGAGUAAUCAGGGAAGUCUCUGAAAAUAGGAGAGGAAAUAUUUCAGAGGACAAAUCAUAAAAGGUAUGAAUACAAGCUCAAGGAUUUAAAAUAUGAGCUGUUAGGGUUUAGAGGCAAAUGCAACCCCUUGCCUUUUUUCGUUACUACUGCUGCCUUGUCCAGGCCUAGCACAGCGCCUCCUACUUAGCAAGUGCUUAAAAAAAUGCUUGCUGAAUGAAUGAAAGAGCAAAUAAAUGAAUAUGUCCAGUGAACAGGCAAAUAUGCAUAUUUUCACUGCAUUAAAAAAUGAGUCUGGUCAAAAAAAUAAUAAGGGAGUUCCUUUCGUGGCUCAGCGGUAAUGAACCGGAGUAGAAUCCAUGAGGAUAUGGAUUUGAUCCCUGGCUUCGCUCAGUAGGUUAAGGAUCCAGCGUUGCCGUGAGCUGUGGUGUAGGUUGCAGACAUGGCUUGGAUUUGGCAUUGCUGUGGCUGUGGCGUAGGCUGGCAGUUGCAGCUCUGAUUCAGCCUCUAGCCUGGGAACCUCCAAUGC